This 507-nucleotide ribosomal RNA is filed under the name uncultured bacterium. Its description in RNAcentral is "bacterial SSU rRNA". It matches the Rfam family "Bacterial small subunit ribosomal RNA", at positions 501 to 1009 of the family's 1533-position model. The record is from RNAcentral.
CUACGUGCCAGCAGCCGCGGUAAUACGGAGGGUGCGAGCGUUAAUCGGAAUAACUGGGCGUAAAGGGCACGCAGGCGGUGACUUAAGUGAGGUGUGAAAGCCCCGGGCUUAACCUGGGAAUUGCAUUUCAUACUGGGUCGCUAGAGUACUUUAGGGAGGGGUAGAAUUCCACGUGUAGCGGUGAAAUGCGUAGAGAUGUGGAGGAAUACCGAAGGCGAAGGCAGCCCCUUGGGAAUGUACUGACGCUCAUGUGCGAAAGCGUGGGGAGCAAACAGGAUUAGAUACCCUGGUAGUCCACGCUGUAAACGAUGUCGAUUUGGGGGUUGAACUUUAAGUUUGGCGCCCGUAGCUAACGUGAUAAAUCGACCGCCUGGGGAGUACGGCCGCAAGGUUAAAACUCAAAUGAAUUGACGGGGGCCCGCACAAGCGGUGGAGCAUGUGGUUUAAUUCGAUGCAACGCGAAGAACCUUACCUACUCUUGACAUCCAGAGAAUUCGCUAGAGAUAG